UCGGCCUCUGCCUGACGUAGAUGUAGUUGAGCUGACUCUCUCGGGAGUAUGUGCUCGCUCGUCAUCUUUAUCUUUCCACCUGUGCACUUUUUGUAGAUUUGGAUGUAACUGUCCGAGGCAACUCGGUUGGGAGGAAUGCUGUCUCUGAUGGCUUUCCUUGUAUGUCCAAGUCUAUGUUUUCAUAUACUCCAAGUAUGUAACAGAAUGUAUCACUGGGCCUUGUGCCUAUAAACUAUAUACAACUUUCAGCAACGGAUCUCUUGGCUCUCGCAUCGAUGAAGAACGCAGCGAAAUGCGAUAAGUAAUGUGAAUUGCAGAAUUCAGUGAAUCAUCGAAUCUUUGAACGCACCUUGCGCCCCUUGGUAUUCCGAGGGGCAUGCCUGUUUGAGUGUCAUUAAAUUCUCAACCUUACUAGCUUUUGCGAAGUAAUGGCUUGGACUUGGGGGUCUUUUUGCUGGUUUCGAAAGAGAUCUGCUCCCCUUAAAUGCAUUAGCCGGUGCCCCGCGUGGACCGUCUAUUGGUGUGAUAAUUAUCUACGCCGUUAGAUGUCUGCUAUUAAAUGGGAUGUGCUGCUUCUAAUCGUCCUUCAGGACAAUUAUUGACCAUUUGACCUCAAAUCAGGUAGGACUACCCGCUGAACUUAAGCAUUCAAUAGGGGGGGAGAAAGCCCGGUCCGACUUACGCAGUUGAGAAACUCUCUGGGAAAUUGUCCCCCCCAUCUUUAUCUUUCACCUGCCCCUUUUUGUAGAUUGGAUUUAAUUUCCGGGCACUGGGUGGGAAGAAUUCUUCUCUAGUGGCUUCGUGGAGAGCCGAGCUUUGUUUUAUAGUCCCCAGGUGGUGAGAAGAUGAGUAUGCGGUGGUGCUUUAUAUAGAUGAUAAAUUUACAAGAAUUUUGUGUUGUAGCGAGAGAAAGCGAGAAGAGAGUGUAGAGGGAGAGAGUAGUUGUGUGAUGUAACCGCCGCCGCCCGCGCGCGCGCGUAGGGUGGGGGGGUGGUGAGGUGUGUAUGUAUAUAUUAUGUCUGCUUUCGAUGACGUGUAGUGUGAUGUGUAGUGGUGUUGUGUGGUGGGUGUUGUGGACUGAUGGU
RNAcentral lists this ribosomal RNA (1085 nucleotides) under Gymnopilus purpureosquamulosus. Its description in RNAcentral is "eukaryotic LSU rRNA". The stretch from base 241 to 394 matches the Rfam family "5.8S ribosomal RNA". Lineage: Eukaryota; Fungi; Basidiomycota; Agaricomycetes; Agaricales; Galerinaceae. The record is from RNAcentral.